This 488-nucleotide ribosomal RNA is filed under the name uncultured bacterium. Its description in RNAcentral is "bacterial SSU rRNA". It matches the Rfam family "Bacterial small subunit ribosomal RNA", at positions 29 to 526 of the family's 1533-position model. The record is from RNAcentral.
AAUGAACGUUGGCGGCGUGGAUUAGGCAUGCAAGUCGAGCGAGAAGUUUCCUUCGGGAAACGGAAAGCGGCGAAAGGGAGAGUAACGCGUGGAUCAUCUGCCCUCGGAUCCGGGAUAGCUGCGGGAAACUGCAGGUAAUACCGGAUAAAGUCUCCGGACCAAAGGUGAGAUUCCGUCCGAGGAUGAGUCCGCGUCCUAUUAGCUUGUUGGUGGGGUAACGGCCUACCAAGGCGAUGAUGGGUACUGGGUGUGAGAGCACGACCCAGCUCACUGGGACUGAGACACUGCCCAGACACCUACGGGGUGCUGCAGUCGAGAAUCUUCGGCAAUGGGCGCAAGCCUGACCGAGCGACGCCGCGUGCGGGAUGAAGGCCUUCGGGUUGUAAACCGCUGUCAGAGGGGAUGAAAGGUCGUGGGGUACUCUCCACGAUUUGACAGAUCCUCAGAGGAAGUACGGGCUAAGUUCGUGCCAGCCGCCGCCGUAACAC